CUUCAAAGACGGAAACCAAGUCCAGCACCCGGACAGCAGACACGCCCGCAAGGACACUCCGAAACUGGGAUGACCGAUCGGUGCUGCCUUUAACGCGCGCACUGGAAUCAAGACAAACCACCUGGAGCUGUCCUGAUUUUACGCUUUGUUAGACCUUCACCUGGCGCCUGUGUCGAUCGAAGCCAGCGAAAUUUGAGAAUAACUUGAUGACAAGGCUUCUACAAUAAAUUGGGAUUUAAAAAAUAUAGAUUUUGAGAGCAUCUCUUCAGAAACAGGGGGACCUUUGAAUUUGGAUCGACAUACUGUUAAAAGAUACAUGGACUGGAUUUGUAUUCAUUUUACUCAAUGGAACUUUGGAAUAACGCAGUUUUGAAUUGCAAGUCUUCUCAGACUGGUUCAUUUCAUCAACAUAUCUACAUUCGGCUAUGCAUCGGCUACGCGCUCUUGAAAUAAUAAGUACAGCGAACUUAUUUGAAUCAAGCUUGUGGAAUUGUUGAUUGUCCCUCGAAAGCGUUUGAGCUUGGAACACGGAAGAUACGCUUCAAUGGAACUGUUAACUUUUUCAAGAAAUCCCAGAUGGAGGUUUCCCGGUAUCAGGAGGGAAUAACCAGGAAGUCCGGAGUCCUCCAACCAGGAUUUCUGGGAAACCAGGGAAUUUAUUGAAAGUUCCAGGAAUUGAGCAACCCUAAAAGUUCGUCUGAAAGUCUGGGUCGACUGACACACACAAUCAUGGACAGAUCACUGGACCGCUGAGUGCAAUCUUCCUCUUUCUCCUCCUCCUUCCUCUUUCUCCUCCUCCUUCCUCUUUCUCCUCCUCUUCCUCCUCCUCCUCUUCCUCCUUCCUCCUCUUCCUCCUCCUCCUCUUCCUUCUCUUCCUCCUCCUCCUCUUCCCCCAGAGGCUUCAGUGAACAUCCUGAAGGUCCCACCUGGUUGCCAGAGAAUCAGUGAGACAGAAAGACAGAUCGAGAGGUUACAAAAAAACAGAGGUUCCAACAAACCCCCUCUGGUCUUUCUAAUUCAUUUGGUAACCAUGACGACCACUCUUUUUUUCCUCCUUACCUGGGCACCUGGUGAACCCCCAAGUCCAACUGCCAUCAUCGUUGCUGAUUUUGCUGCUGUUACAACUGUUUAGUCAGUGCCCUGCUGCUCCCUCAGGGCCUGAGUCAGAC
Oncorhynchus gorbuscha (pink salmon) is the source of this 1169-nucleotide long non-coding RNA. RefSeq lists it as uncharacterized. The record is from RefSeq and is a predicted model, not a curated record. Lineage: Eukaryota; Metazoa; Chordata; Actinopteri; Salmoniformes; Salmonidae. The transcript is spliced from 3 exons.